ACAGCCAAGAGUAGCUAAAGAGGAGAAGCUUAGAUGCUCAUUGAUUCUUCCAGAGAGAUUCAAAAUUGGUCAUGCAAAAGAGCAAAACCUAUAUAUGAAGCUGAUUUCCUCUUACUUUCAUGAAUUUAGAUGAGAAAUGAAAUUUUCAAAUAUCAGACUGGAAACAAUGCUCAGAAUUCCUAUUUUUUCCAUAAAGAAACAUUUAAAAGGAAAGUGUGCAGAGCCAAGCCUGACUUCAGCCAGUCAGAGAUUCUACAGACUGAGGCUAUGUCAGGCCAUUCCUUAGGUAGAAUGUGGCUAUGAAUAUCAAUUUUCAUUUUGGAAGUAUCACAGGAGAAGCACUCCUUGAAUGAUAAUGUUUUCUGUGUGAAUGCUACUGUCCUUCCUGUCCCUGGUUCACAGG
Molecule: long non-coding RNA, 403 nt
Organism: Pseudopipra pipra
Lineage: Eukaryota; Metazoa; Chordata; Aves; Passeriformes; Pipridae
Exons: 3
Source: RefSeq, a predicted model, not a curated record